UUCAACAUUUAAACUGUUCAUUGCCAAUAUUAUCUGAUCUUGGAAGCUAAGCAUGAUUAGACCUAAUUAGUAUUUGAAUGAGAGAUUGCCUGGGAUUACCAGAUAAUGUAGAUU
Ribosomal RNA from Salvator merianae (Argentine black and white tegu), 114 nucleotides. The record is from Ensembl. NCBI's taxonomy places the organism in Eukaryota, Metazoa, Chordata, Lepidosauria, Squamata, Teiidae.